AAAAAAAUAAAUACCGCCGACACUAUUUAAAGUAUCUAGUACUACUGACAUUUAAGUCCACAACACGGAAACAUUAUAUAAAUAUGAAUCUUGCAUUGUACGAUGAAUUGGAGACGCUACUUCACUAUAAACAUCCAUCUAAAUACAUUAUUCCGAUUCACGAAUCAACCAUUAAAUUAAUGUUCUUUCUUCUAAACACCCCCAUACCAACUGAACAUUUUAGGAAUUCAACAUUCGUCUUUGUAAAUUGUAAAUUAUUCAUAUACCAAUCAAAUUGUCAAAAAAAUCAUUCCAAUUGUUACCAGUAACAAUAAUUUGAGCUCACAACUCCAAGAUAAGCUUCGUAUUUUUAUUUCUGUUGUACUACAUGUAUACCAAUGUCAAGUUACCUUCAAAAGAUUUAGACCCCAAAGGCUGACUGCAGUUAUUGGCAUACUAUAUUUCUCCUGACAUGUAGCAAAACCCAGUGGCAGAUCCAGAACUUUUAUAAGGAUUACGGCACUCUGAUAGGCCUAAAUGGGGAGGGGGGAGACGCUCCAAUCAUGCUUCAGUAAUUCCCUAUAUAAUCAACCAAAUGUUUCCAACAAAAAGGGGACCCGGGUCCCCCAAUGUUCCCC
RNAcentral lists this long non-coding RNA (617 nucleotides) under Mytilus galloprovincialis (Mediterranean mussel). Lineage: Eukaryota; Metazoa; Mollusca; Bivalvia; Mytilida; Mytilidae. The record is from RNAcentral.